Molecule: ribosomal RNA, 536 nt
Filed under: Alternaria azukiae
Lineage: Eukaryota; Fungi; Ascomycota; Dothideomycetes; Pleosporales; Pleosporaceae
Description: eukaryotic LSU rRNA
Rfam family: 5.8S ribosomal RNA (bases 198-351)
Source: RNAcentral
UUUCCGUAAGGGUGACUGCGGAGGGAUCAUUACACAAAUAUGAAGGCGGGCUGGAACCUCUCGGGGUUACAGCCUUGCUGAAUUAUUCACCCUUGUCUUUUGCGUACUUCUUGUUUCCUUGGUGGGUUCGCCCACCACUAGGACAAACAUAAACCUUUUGUAAUUGCAAUCAGCGUCAGUAACAAAUUAAUAAUUACAACUUUCAACAACGGAUCUCUUGGUUCUGGCAUCGAUGAAGAACGCAGCGAAAUGCGAUAAGUAGUGUGAAUUGCAGAAUUCAGUGAAUCAUCGAAUCUUUGAACGCACAUUGCGCCCUUUGGUAUUCCAAAGGGCAUGCCUGUUCGAGCGUCAUUUGUACCCUCAAGCUUUGCUUGGUGUUGGGCGUCUUGUCUCUAGCUUUGCUGGAGACUCGCCUUAAAGUAAUUGGCAGCCGGCCUACUGGUUUCGGAGCGCAGCACAAGUCGCACUCUCUAUCAGCAAAGGUCUAGCAUCCAUUAAGCCUUUUUUCAACUUUGACCUCGGAUCAGGUAGAUCCG